Molecule: long non-coding RNA, 877 nt
Filed under: Daphnia magna
Lineage: Eukaryota; Metazoa; Arthropoda; Branchiopoda; Diplostraca; Daphniidae
Description: uncharacterized LOC123476873, transcript variant X2
Source: RNAcentral
UAGUUUCUCCAAGGAAUUUCACAAGUGCUUUUUGUAUAACAUAUUGGUUGGAAAUGGGAAUAGAUGAGUUAAUGCCGAGUACAGUUGGAAGUUUGGGCAGUGGAUAAUGAUGUGUUCAGAAGUAAGAGAGAUGUGGCAUGUUCGGCAUUGGGAGUCUAUUGUGUCGUCUAUUUUAGACAUGAUAGGUGACAACUUGUUAUGCCCACUGCGAAGUCUAUGGAGUUUACGGUUGAUUGGAGUUGAAAAUAUCAGAUGCCAGGGGAGGGGGCCCAUUUCUGUACGCAGCAUAGCAUUUAUCCUGUUUGAAGAGCUUUGUAUAGAGGUGAGAUUGCUCCGUCGUUGUAGAGCUGCGAGCUUCGGUCAGUUUCCAGGAUUCUGCCAGAUGACGUUUUGGGCACCAUACACUAUAUCCAGCUACAUCUUGUAUAUGGUCAUGGGAACCGUCAGUGAAGAGGGUUCAAGAUGGCUUCCCUCUUGCUGAUGGCCAGUUUUUGGAAUGGAAAGUGCUUGAUUUCCCAUGGCGGAGGAAAUGUUUUAUCCAUAGAAGGAGUUUGCCCCGAAUACUAAGCUGGGAAAGUUUGAAAAGCAAUCCGAGGUGCCACGUCGAGUCGUACGCUCCAGCAAUGUCCAGAAAGACAGCCUAGGGUUGAACGGCCUUGGCGGAAUCCUGCUUGAUUGCUUGCUUGCUAACGCAGGAAGUUAAGGCUAUAGGUCUGUAUGCUUCCGGGUCCGAAGGUACUUUUCCUGGUUUGGGAAUAGGGAUAAUGGUGGAAAUUUUCCAUUGUCUAGGUUCCUUAGCAUAGUGUUGUGGACUAGGUCGUCUCCCAUGGUGGUUUUCUUCAGCUGGUUUAUGGCUUCCUGUAUUUCGGUAAGUGUU